GCUUGCUGUUUCGCUGACGAGUGGCGGACGGGUGAGUAAUGUCUGGGAAACUGCCUGAUGGAGGGGGAUAACUACUGGAAACGGUAGCUAAUACCGCAUAACGUCGCAAGACCAAAGAGGGGGACCUUCGGGCCUCUUGCCAUCAGAUGUGCCCAGAUGGGAUUAGCUAGUAGGUGGGGUAACGGCUCACCUAGGCGACGAUCCCUAGCUGGUCUGAGAGGAUGACCAGCCACACUGGAGCUGAGACACGGUCCAGACUCCUACGGGAGGCAGCAGUGGGGAAUAUUGCACAAUGGGCGCAAGCCUGAUGCAGCCAUGCCGCGUGUAUGAAGAAGGCCUUCGGGUUGUAAAGUACUUUCAGCGGGGAGGAAGGGAGUAAAGUUAAUACCUUUGCUCAUUGACGUUACCCGCAGAAGAAGCACCGGCUAACUCCGUGCCAGCAGCCGCGGUAAUACGGAGGGUGCAAGCGUUGAUCGGAAUUACUGGGCGUAAAGCGCACGCAGGCGGUUUGUUAAGUCAGAUGUGAAAUCCCCGGGCUCAACCUGGGAACUGCAUCUGAUACUGGCAAGCUUGAGUCUCGUAGAGGGGGGUAGAAUUCCAGGUGUAGCGGUGAAAUGCGUAGAGAUCUGGAGGAAUACCGGUGGCGAAGGCGGCCCCCUGGACGAAGACUGACGCUCAGGUGCGAAAGCGUGGGGAGCAAACAGGAUUAGAUACCCUGGUAGUCCACGCCGUAAACGAUGUCGACUUGGAGGUUGUGCCCUUGAGGCGUGGCUUCCGGAGCUAACGCGUUAAGUCGACCGCCUGGGGAGUACGGCCGCAAGGUUAAAACUCAAAUGAAUUGACGGGGGCCCGCACAAGCGGUGGAGCAUGUGGUUUAAUUCGAUGCAACGCGAAGAACCUUACCUGGUCUUGACAUCCACGGAAGUUUUCAGAGAUGAGAAUGUGCCUUCGGGAACCGUGAGACAGGUGCUGCAUGGCUGUCGUCAGCUCGUGUUGUGAAAUGUUGGGUUAAGUCCCGCAACGAGCGCAACCCUUAUCCUUUGUUGCCAGCGGUCCGGCCGGGAACUCAAAGGAGACUGCCAGUGAUAAACUGGAGGAAGGUGGGGAUGACGUCAAGUCAUCAUGGCCCUUACGACCAGGGCUACACACGUGCUACGAUGGCGCAUACAAAGAGAAGCGACCUCGCGAGAGCAAGCGGACCUCAUAAAGUGCGUCGUAGUCCGGAUUGGAGUCUGCAACUCGACUCCAUGAAGUCGGAAUCGCUAGUAAUCGUGGAUCAGAAUGCCACGGUGAAUACGUUCCCGGGCCUUGUACACACCGCCCGUCACACCAUGGGAGUGGGUUGCAAAAGAAGUAGGUAGCUUAACCUUCGGGAGGGCGCUUACCACUUUGUGAUUCAUGACUGGGGUGAAGUCGGAACAAGGUAACCGUAGGGGAACCUGCGGUUG
Molecule: ribosomal RNA, 1448 nt
Filed under: metagenome
Description: bacterial SSU rRNA
Rfam family: Bacterial small subunit ribosomal RNA
Source: RNAcentral